GUAGCAGGAGUAUGAUAAGUAUAUUUGUUUUCCACACAAAAGGUUCAGAGUUUAGGAUUGUUACU
RNAcentral lists this transfer RNA (65 nucleotides) under Calyptogena extenta. Its description in RNAcentral is "tRNA-Gly". Lineage: Eukaryota; Metazoa; Mollusca; Bivalvia; Venerida; Vesicomyidae. The record is from RNAcentral.